This is a non-coding RNA of Manis javanica (Malayan pangolin), 337 nucleotides long. Lineage: Eukaryota; Metazoa; Chordata; Mammalia; Pholidota; Manidae. The record is from RefSeq and is a predicted model, not a curated record.
UUUUUACCCAGUUUUCCUACAAUCUACUUCUCUCCAGCCAACAAGAAGCUAAAUCCAAAGAAAUAUGAAGGUGGCCGUGAAUUAAAUGAUUUUAUUAGCUAUCUACAACGAGAGGCUACAAACCCCCCUGUAAUUCAAGAAGAAAAACCCAAGAAGAAGAAGAAGGCACAGGAAGAUCUCUAAAGCAGCGCCAAACAGGCCACUUUGUAAAAGGACUUUUCCAGCAGAGAUGGGAGAACCAUUGGGAGAACUGAGACCCAUAUGGGAUUAUUACUCUCAGGGCUGAGAGGACAGAAUGGAUAUAAUCUGAAUCCUGUUAAAUUUUCUCUAAACUGUU